Molecule: long non-coding RNA, 622 nt
Organism: Cyprinus carpio carpio
Lineage: Eukaryota; Metazoa; Chordata; Actinopteri; Cypriniformes; Cyprinidae
Source: Ensembl
UAUCUAUCUAUCUAUCUAUCUAUCUAUCCUAGCAACAUGCUAAUAAUGUUAGAAACAUGCUAGUCACUCGCUAAUCAUGCUUAAAGAAACAUGCUAGCGACAUGCUAGUAACUCGCUAAUCAUGCUAGAAACAUGCUAGCGACAUGCUAGUCCUCGCUAAUCAUGCUAGAAACAUGCUAACGACAUGCUAGUCACUUGCUAAUCAUGCUAAAAACAUGCUAGCGACAUGCUAGUCAUUUGCUAAUCAUGCUAGAAACAUGCUAGCGACAUGCUAGUCACUCGCUAAUCAUGCUAAAAACAUGCUAGGGAAAUGCUUAUCACUCGCUAAUCAUGCUAAAAACAUGCUACGAGUGACUAGCAUGUCGCUAGCAUGUUUUUAGCAUGAUUAGCGAAAACAUGCUAGUGACAUGCUAGUCACUUGCUUAUCAUGCUAAAAACAUGCUAGCGACAUGCUAGUCACUUGCUAAUCAUGCUAAAGAAACAUGCUAGCGACAUGCUAGUCACUCGCUAAUCAUGCUAGAAACAUGCUAGCGACAUGCUAGUCACUCGCUAAUCAUGCUAAAAACAUGCUAGCGACAUGCUAGUCACUCGCUAAUCAUGCUAAAAACAUGCUAGUGACAUG